GAGAGUUUGAAUCCUGGCUCAGGAUGAACGCUAGCGGGAGGCCUAACACAUGCAAGCCGAGCGGUAGAGAUCUUUCGGGAUCUUGAGAGCGGCGUACGGGUGCGGAACACGUGUGCAACCUGCCUUUAUCUGGGGGAUAGCCUUUCGAAAGGAAGAUUAAUACCCCAUAAUAUAUUGAGUGGCAUCACUUAAUAUUGAAAACUCCGGUGGAUAGAGAUGGGCACGCGCAAGAUUAGAUAGUUGGUGAGGUAACGGCUCACCAAGUCAACGAUCUUUAGGGGGCCUGAGAGGGUGAUCCCCCACACUGGUACUGAGACACGGACCAGACUCCUACGGGAGGCAGCAGUGAGGAAUAUUGGACAAUGGGUGAGAGCCUGAUCCAGCCAUCCCGCGUGAAGGACGACGGCCCUAUGGGUUGUAAACUUCUUUUGUAUAGGGAUAAACCUACCCUCGUGAGGGUAGCUGAAGGUACUAUACGAAUAAGCACCGGCUAACUCCGUGCCAGCAGCCGCGGUAAUACGGAGGGUGCAAGCGUUAUCCGGAUUUAUUGGGUUUAAAGGGUCCGUAGGCGGAUUUGUAAGUCAGUGGUGAAAUCUCACAGCUUAACUGUGAAACUGCCAUUGAUACUGCAAGUCUUGAGUGUUGUUGAAGUAGCUGGAAUAAGUAGUGUAGCGGUGAAAUGCAUAGAUAUUACUUAGAACACCAAUUGCGAAGGCAGGUUACUAAGCAACAACUGACGCUGAUGGACGAAAGCGUGGGGAGCGAACAGGAUUAGAUACCCUGGUAGUCCACGCCGUAAACGAUGCUAACUCGUUUUUGGUAUUUCGGUAUCAGAGACUAAGCGAAAGUGAUAAGUUAGCCACCUGGGGAGUACGAACGCAAGUUUGAAACUCAAAGGAAUUGACGGGGGCCCGCACAAGCGGUGGAUUAUGUGGUUUAAUUCGAUGAUACGCGAGGAACCUUACCAAGGCUUAAAUGGGAAAUGACAGGCUUAGAAAUAGGCUAUUCUUCGGACAUUUUUCAAGGUGCUGCAUGGUUGUCGUCAGCUCGUGCCGUGAGGUGUUAGGUUAAGUCCUGCAACGAGCGCAACCCCUGUCACUAGUUGCCAUCAUUAAGUUGGGGACUCUAGUGAGACUGCCUACGCAAGUAGAGAGGAAGGUGGGGAUGACGUCAAAUCAUCACGGCCCUUACGCCUUGGGCCACACACGUAAUACAAUGGCCGGUACAGAGGGCAGCUACACUGCGAAGUGAUGCAAAUCUCGAAAGCCGGUCUCAGUUCGGAUUGGAGUCUGCAACUCGACUCUAUGAAGCUGGAAUCUGCUAGUAAUCGCGCAUGACG
This 1339-nucleotide ribosomal RNA is filed under the name Chryseobacterium arthrosphaerae. RNAcentral's name for it is "bacterial SSU rRNA". It matches the Rfam family "Bacterial small subunit ribosomal RNA", at positions 7 to 1353 of the family's 1533-position model. Lineage: Bacteria; Pseudomonadati; Bacteroidota; Flavobacteriia; Flavobacteriales; Weeksellaceae. The record is from RNAcentral.